AGUGAACGCUGGCGGUAGGCCUAACACAUGCAAGUCGAACGGCAGCACAGUAAGAGCUUGCUCUUACGGGUGGCGAGUGGCGGACGGGUGAGGAAUACAUCGGAAUCUACUUUUUCGUGGGGGAUAACGUAGGGAAACUUACGCUAAUACCGCAUACGACCUACGGGUGAAAGCAGGGGAUCUUCGGACCUUGCGCGAUUGAAUGAGCCGAUGUCGGAUUAGCUAGCUGGCGGGGUAAAGGCCCACCAAGGCGACGAUCCGUAGCUGGUCUGAGAGGAUGAUCAGCCACACUGGAACUGAGACACGGUCCAGACUCCUACGGGAGGCAGCAGUGGGGAAUAUUGGACAAUGGGCGCAAGCCUGAUCCAGCCAUACCGCGUGGGUGAAGAAGGCCUUCGGGUUGUAAAGCCCUUUUGUUGGGAAAGAAAAGCAGCAGGUUAAUACCCCGCCGUUCUGACGGUACCCAAAGAAUAAGCACCGGCUAACUUCGUG
RNAcentral lists this ribosomal RNA (492 nucleotides) under uncultured bacterium. RNAcentral's name for it is "partial 16S ribosomal RNA". It matches the Rfam family "Bacterial small subunit ribosomal RNA", at positions 29 to 507 of the family's 1533-position model. The record is from RNAcentral.